GGGUUGUAAACCUCUUUUCUCAGGGAAGAACACAAUGACGGUACCUGAGGAAUCAGCCUCGGCUAACUCCGUGCCAGCAGCCGCGGUAAUACGGAGGAGGCAAGCGUUAUCCGGAAUUAUUGGGCGUAAAGCGUCCGUAGGUGGUCAUGUAAGUCGGUCGUCAAAGCACAGGGCUUAACCCUGUAAUGGCGGUGGAAACUGCACGACUAGAGAGAGGUAGGGGUAGAGGGAAUUCCCAGUGUAGCGGUGAAAUGCGUAGAGAUUGGGAAGAACAUCGGUGGCGAAAGCGCUCUACUGGACCUCAUCUGACGCUGAUGGACGAAAGCUAGGGGAGCGAAUGGGAUUAGAUACCCCAGUAGUCCUAGCCGUAAACGAUGGAUACUAGAUGUUGUCUGUAUCGACCCAGACAGUGUCGUAGCUAACGCGUUAAGUAUCCCGCCUGGGGAGUACGCACGCAAGUGUGAAACUCAAAGGAAUUGACGGGGGCCCGCACAAGCGGUGGAGUAUGUGGUUUAAUUCGAUGCAACGCGAAGAACCUUACCAGCUUUUGACAUGUCCGGUUUGAUCGGCAGAGAUGCCUUUCUUCAGUUCGGCUGGCCGGAACACAGGUGCUGCAUGGCUGUCGUCAGCUCGUGUCGUGAGAUGUUGGGUUAAGUCCCGCAACGAGCGCAACCCUCGCCCCUAGUUGCCAUCAUUCAG
This 699-nucleotide ribosomal RNA is filed under the name uncultured Trichodesmium sp. RNAcentral's name for it is "bacterial SSU rRNA". It matches the Rfam family "Bacterial small subunit ribosomal RNA", at positions 420 to 1128 of the family's 1533-position model. Lineage: Bacteria; Bacillati; Cyanobacteriota; Cyanophyceae; Oscillatoriales; Microcoleaceae. The record is from RNAcentral.